Molecule: ribosomal RNA, 567 nt
Filed under: uncultured bacterium
Lineage: Bacteria
Description: partial 16S ribosomal RNA
Rfam family: Bacterial small subunit ribosomal RNA
Source: RNAcentral
UGGGGAAUAUUGCACAAUGGGCGAAAGCCUGAUGCAGCAACGCCGCGUGAGGGACGACGGCCUUCGGGUUGUAAACCUCUUUUAGCAAGGAAGAAGCGAAAGUGACGGUACUUGCAGAAAAAGCGCCGGCUAACUACGUGCCAGCAGCCGCGGUAAUACGUAGGGCGCAAGCGUUAUCCGGAAUUAUUGGGCGUAAAGAGCUCGUAGGCGGUUUGUCGCGUCUGCUGUGAAAACCCGAGGCUCAACCUCGGGCCUGCAGUGGGUACGGGCAGACUAGAGUGCGGUAGGGGAGAUUGGAACUCCCGGUGCAGCGGUGGAAUGCGCAGAUAUCAGGAAGAACACCGAUGGCGAAGGCAGAUCUCUGGGCCGUAACUGACGCUGAGGAGCGAAAGGGUGGGGAGCAAACAGGGCUUAGAUACCCUGGUAGUCCACCCCGUAAACGUUGGGAACUAGUUGUGGGUCCAUUCCACGGAUUCCGUGACGCAGCUAACGCAUUAAGUUCCCCGCCUGGGGAGUACGGCCGCAAGGCUAAAACUUAAAGGAAUUGACGGGGUCAUAGCUGUUUCC